GAUGAACGCUGGCGGCGUGCCUAAUACAUGCAAGUCGAGCGAACGGACGAGAAGCUUGCUUCUCUGAUGUUAGCGGCGGACGGGUGAGUACCACGUGGAUAACCUGUCUAUAAGACUGGGGUCACUUCGGGAAACCGGAGCUAAUACCGGAUAAUAUUGUGAACCGCAUGGUUCAUAAGUGAAAGAGGGUUCUGCUGUCACUUAUAGGUGGAUCCGCGCUGCAUUAGCUAGUUGGUAAGGUAACGGCUUACCAAGGCUACGAUGCAUAGCCGACCUGAGAGGGUGAUCGGCCACACUGGAACUGAGACACGGUCCAGACUCCUACGGGAGGCAGCAGUAGGGAAUCUUCCGCAAUGGGCGAAAGCCUGACGGAGCAACGCCGCGUGAGUGAUGAAGGUCUUCGGAUCGUAAAACUCUGUUAUUAGGGAAGAACAUAUGUGUAAGUAACUGUGCACAUCUUGACGUUACCUAAACAGAAAGCCACGGCUAACUACGUG
RNAcentral lists this ribosomal RNA (497 nucleotides) under uncultured bacterium. RNAcentral describes it as "partial 16S ribosomal RNA". It matches the Rfam family "Bacterial small subunit ribosomal RNA", at positions 28 to 507 of the family's 1533-position model. The record is from RNAcentral.